UACGUUGGUGGCAAGCGUUAUCCGGAUUUAUUGGGUGUAAAGGGCGUGUAGGCGGGAAUGCAAGUCAGAUGUGAAAACUAUGGGCUCAACCCAUAGCCUGCAUUUGAAACUGUAUUUCUUGAGUGCUGGAGAGGCAAUCGGAAUUCCGUGUGUAGCGGUGAAAUGCGUAGAUAUACGGAGGAACACCAGUGGCGAAGGCGGAUUGCUGGACAGUAACUGACGCUGAGGCGCGAAAGCGUGGGGAGCAAACAGG
Molecule: ribosomal RNA, 253 nt
Filed under: uncultured bacterium
Lineage: Bacteria
Description: partial 16S ribosomal RNA
Rfam family: Bacterial small subunit ribosomal RNA
Source: RNAcentral